Molecule: transfer RNA, 64 nt
Filed under: Hydrometra greeni
Lineage: Eukaryota; Metazoa; Arthropoda; Insecta; Hemiptera; Hydrometridae
Description: tRNA-Gly
Source: RNAcentral
AUUCUUUUAGUAUAAACUAAUAUAAUUAACUUCCAAUUAAUUGAUCUUUUUUAAAGAAAGAAUA